UACGGAGGAUUCGAGCGUUAUCCGGAUUUAUUGGGUUUAAAGGGAGCGUAGGCAGGUUGUUAAGUCAGUUGUGAAAGUUUGCGGCUCAACCGUAAAAUUGCAGUUGAUACUGGCAUCCUUGAGUACAGUAGAGGUAGGCGGAAUUCGUGGUGUAGCGGUGAAAUGCUUAGAUAUCACGAAGAACUCCGAUUGCGAAGGCAGCCUGCUGGACUGUAACUGACGCUGAUGCUCGAAAGUGUGGGUAUCAAACAGG
This 253-nucleotide ribosomal RNA is filed under the name uncultured bacterium. Its description in RNAcentral is "partial 16S ribosomal RNA". It matches the Rfam family "Bacterial small subunit ribosomal RNA", at positions 524 to 776 of the family's 1533-position model. The record is from RNAcentral.